UACGUAGGGGGCAAGCGUUGUCCGGAAUCAUUGGGCGUAAAGCGAGCGUAGGCGGCCCGAUAAGUCUGCUGUAAAAAGUCAACGGCUCAACCGUUGAAAGCCGGUGGAUACUGUCGGGCUAGAGUUCGGAAGAGGCAAGUGGAAUUCCUGGUGUAGCGGUGGAAUGCGCAGAUAUCAGGAGGAACACCUAUAGCGAAGGCAGCUUGCUGGGACGAUACUGACGCUAAGGCUCGAAAAGCGUGGGGGAGCGAACAGG
Molecule: ribosomal RNA, 256 nt
Filed under: uncultured bacterium
Lineage: Bacteria
Description: partial 16S ribosomal RNA
Rfam family: Bacterial small subunit ribosomal RNA
Source: RNAcentral